RNAcentral lists this long non-coding RNA (203 nucleotides) under Daucus carota (carrot). Its description in RNAcentral is "long non-coding RNA (DCAR_LNC007322)". The record is from RNAcentral. Lineage: Eukaryota; Viridiplantae; Streptophyta; Magnoliopsida; Apiales; Apiaceae.
AUAGGGCUGUUCACGAACCGAGCCGAGCCGAGUUUUGACCGAGUCGAGCCGAGCUUUAAAUUUUUUCUUAUCGAACCGAGCCGAGCCGAGCUUUCUUAUCGAACAAAAAAGUGUGUUCAAGCUCGAGCUCGAUAACUAACGAGCCGAACACGAGCUUGUUCACGAACAAAUACGAGCCGAGUCGAGUCGAGCCGAGCCGAGCC